GAUCUUCCAUGAUUAGUUAGUAGUUAGGCAUCCUCAGUCUGCCCAGAACUUUCGUUGUGGAAGGAUGUGCGGGAGUGAUGUGCGAUUUCUUGUGUUCCCUACUUUCCUUGUUUACGUUUUGCGCAGUGUUGCUUCUUCUUCCAUUGUGGAAUGAUUUAUCCUAGCUAACUUGUUGAGUUACAGGUGCAUGCGCCAUUCAUCAACGCCUACCUGUUGGCAUCAUCAACAAUCUUCAAAGUGGGUGACAGAAAGAAAUUGUUUUCCAGUUUUAAAAUAUUAAGGUAAGUGUUGCUCUCAUCAUAUACGUAAAACUAUCCAAAGUAAUACGUACUACAUGCAUUAAUUAUUGGUUCAUUUUUAUUGACAGCGUUCAGCACAACUCAGCCACAAAACAACGCACUGGAUUACGCUAAGAACCUGUCGAAACGCGCGCAGCUCCCGGGAGCGGUAGGAGAAAGGAAGAACGAGAGGAGGAAAAACUAAAGCCAGCGCGCCGCUCUGAUGGUACCCCGUACGCGGUAAGAAGAAAAAAGAUCGAGAGGAGAAAGAACGGUAAAUUUGGAAGGGGGAGACCGUUCUGCCGUCUCCACAGUGUGAGUAUGCCAAAGCACGUGUUGGAAGGGAGAGAAAAAGUGUGGAAUAAACCGCAUGCGAAUGUGUGCAUACAGCAAAAGUAAA
Anopheles arabiensis is the source of this 678-nucleotide long non-coding RNA. RefSeq lists it as uncharacterized. The record is from RefSeq and is a predicted model, not a curated record. The transcript is spliced from 2 exons. NCBI's taxonomy places the organism in Eukaryota, Metazoa, Arthropoda, Insecta, Diptera, Culicidae.